UGUGGUUACAAUAGCAGAGAGGAUACACCUGUUCCCAUUCCGAACACAGAAGUUAAGCUCUCUAGCGCUGAUGGUACUUGGUGGGAAACUGCCUGG
Molecule: ribosomal RNA, 96 nt
Filed under: Clostridioides difficile
Lineage: Bacteria; Bacillati; Bacillota; Clostridia; Peptostreptococcales; Peptostreptococcaceae
Also listed under: 5 other names
Source: RNAcentral